GAUCCCGUUGCAUAGGGGUUAUAGCGUCCGCCUCGGAUGCGGGAGGUCGUGGGUUCAAUCCCCGGCUGAAUCA
Molecule: non-coding RNA, 73 nt
Organism: Potamilus streckersoni
Lineage: Eukaryota; Metazoa; Mollusca; Bivalvia; Unionida; Unionidae
Source: the annotation of a GenBank genome assembly